GUUAAAGAGCUCAUUGAUUUUAGAUGGCUUCUCACAGUGGAAACUCCCCUUGAUCUCGGAACUCGUCUUACUUGCCGGGAUAGCAGAACUGUUUCCAGACUUCAAGAAAAGGAGCAUACCAACCUAGAGAGAGCAUAUCUCUUUCAGCUUGGUCUCCACUGCCUGCAUUAUGCAACAUAUUUGUCAAACAUCUGUUAUGGCCUAAAUUCCCUGUUGACAGGUGAAGUUUGUCAAUCUUCUAUACUCUGAAGGUAUGUAUAGUGGCUGGUUAAUUCAACCAAUUUGCCUGCAAAUAUUAUGAAAUAGCGAUGUAAAAAGCUCAUCAGAUAGUGAUCAAAAGCUCAAUUCAUCACUCGUAUAUACCGUAUAGUUGAGUGUAUCUUUCCAGGAUUGAAUUCUCAUCGGAGGUCUUAAGUGGCAAUUUAUGCAUGCAGCCAUGCAGGGGCCAAUAUUAUCGUCCUCUUUCCUUUUGUUAUUCUUUGGGCCAUUAUCCCAGAAAUAAGCAUUUGAUGAGUUAAUUUUGGUGUACUGAAUUAAAUUAGAGUGAACUUUUGGGCCAAAUCAGGCUCCAAUUUCAAAUGUGGGUGCUCUUAUUGGGCCUCAAGAGAUUGGAUAAAGCCUGCCCACCUGACACCUAAGUAUCAAGUCAAAUGACCUAAACAAUACAUUGCAAACAAUCUAACAUCUGUUCUCUGGACUCUAGUACUUUUAUUUGUUUAUUUUUUUUUGUCUUCAUAUUAUACCCUUUUUGCCUUUAUAUUGUCAGAUUCAGAAUUCGAAAUCUGAACAUCAUAAUUAAAAGAAUGCUAAGAGCCUUUUUUGACAAACUUUUAUUUAUUUAUUUAUUUACAUCUUCUCAUUCUUGUUCAUACCUUUUUCUCGCCUUUAUAUUAUAUCCUUUUCUCCUCCAUAUCGAGAGACUCAAAAUUCGAAAUCUGAAACUCAUAAUUGAAAGGACGUCAAGAGCCUUUUUUGACAAUUAAACGAACCCUAAUGGUUUUAGUACCCAUUUAAAAUAGUUUGUCAAUUUGUUGUUGUAGAGAGCUACAAUGACUUUAUGAAGGUGAAGUAAGCAUUAAGUUUGACGGUGAUGAAUUUUACCUUUUCUUUUUCCCUUUCUUUUUGGUAGUAUGAUAUUAACUCAACAUUAUAAGAUUUUCAUGGGGGGCAUAAAGAUUAAAGAGUCAUGAAAUCUGUGAUUUCAUUUUCCAAGUGUGAAUAUUAGGUGGAUGGACAAAUCAACCUUCUUUUUUCCAUUCUUGGGGGCAGAAUUUCUUCUGCCACAGAUGUUGCCUAUCCAUAUCACGAUAAUGUACUCUUCUUGAGCGAGUAAAUUAAUUUGGUCCCCAAAUGAAAAUUUAGUUGGCCCAUCUCACCGACCACCACGUUUCCUUAACAACAAAGAAAAGGAAAUAUACAAAUGGAAAAUCUGAAUCUAAACCUCCCCAGAUAACAACACUCAAGUAUGUGAACUCCUCACCGGCCAGUUGAAAUCUGAUCCAGAAAAAAAAAAACCCACGAGGAAAAAGAUUAAAUGAAUUUAGUUAUUGGAAACCACCUUAGAAAAUGAAAUUAAAGAAAUGCUUAGGCUCAAUGUAUCUGCCAAAAUGAAGCAAUAAAUGGUCAUGUCAGAAGAUGGAUAGCCAAUGCAUUUGAAUCAUUCAUGCAUCCAUCUUCCAACUUUGCUUAAAACUGUGAACAAAGGGGUGGCUAGAGCUGUUAAACCAAUCAAGUAGCUCGAAAUCUCGUUAGAGCUCGGCUCGUUAAGGUUUAACGAGUCGAGCUCGAGCUCGAAACAUGCUCGUUUAGUUAACGAGCCGAGUAAGCUCGGCUCGUUUGAUACUCGAGUAGCUCGUUAGAGCUCGUUAAUGAAGGGCAUAUUUGUCAUUUUAGAAAUCAAAAUUAUAUAAAUUAAAAAUUAUAGAUUUUUAUUAAUGUUUAUUUGCACGAGCUCGAGCUCGAGCUCGUGAAGCUCGAUUCGUUUGUGAUAAACGAGUCGAGCUCGAGAACUCGAACCACAUGUACAUUUAACGAGCCGAGUUCGAACACAUUUUAAAGUUCGUUUUCUUAACGAGCUCGAGUCGAGCUCGGCUCGAAUUAAACUCGAGUCGAGCUCGGCAGCCAAAUACUCGGCUCGAUUAACAGCUCUAGGGGUGGCAAACAACAUCAUAUCCAUGUGGUGGAGGGCCAUAUCUGUGAAUUGACCCUUCCAAACAGGCGUUAGAGCACAAUUGGUCAGAGAGGAGAAACUUGAAGGUGCUUAUGGCUAUGAGUUACAUCUGUAAAGUAAUAUCAACAUUAAUCGUCCAUUUGUAUCAAUAAUGGAUCAAUUGAAAAAAAUAACGCAAGUUGCAUCCUGUAUAGUUUGUUUGGGGAUGGGGUCUAUGUCAAUGAAUUGGAUGAAAGGAGAAGAAACUUCAAACUAUGAAUUUAUAAUUAGUGAUUGAGCUUAAUACUUCAACCCAACCAUACCAAACUUCUUGGUUAUUGGAGAACCAAAUUAUUUAAUAGUCGUUAGGUGGGGAAAAAAAAAAAGAAUUGCUUAAACAAUCUAGAAUACUUCUUUUUUUGGUAAAUAUCUAGAAAAUAUCUCUUUGGCUGAAGAUCACUAGUUGUUAUCUUGACCAAGAAAUACUGGUAGACCAUUUAACUUUCAAAAUGUUGAUUAUUGAUCACUAAGAUAUGUUUCAACCGCUUAAUCAUGAUUUGAUAGAGUUUUAAUUUCCCACUAUCCCUUGUCAAUCAGCAAAAUUGUGUUUGAUGACACGACUAAUUACCCUUCCAUAUAUAUAUAUAUAUAUCCUCCUUAAUGGUCCCAAAAAAUUAAACAGCUCUGAUAUCCCCCCAAAAAAAAAGACAGAGUUAAAAUCCAAAUUCACCUAAUUCAACGCAUUGAAAAUUUGUGGAAAUGAAUUUAAACCUCCUUUUUCUAUCAAUUUUUUUUUCAACGCCCGUUAAUCACGCUCCUAACACCAUCCAAUAAUUAAGAUUUCUAGCCGAUUACUACUAAAUCAUCGCCUAUAGGCUAUAAACAGCCUCCAGUCAACAAACAAACAAUCACCACCACUCAGAUCAGAUAUUUUUCAUAAGUUGUCCUAUUGUCAGUUUUACACCACUAAGAUCAUCAUGGCUGGAGAGAAGCACCGCCACCACCUCGUCCACCACCACAAGGAAGAGAAGCCUGUCGAGAGAAGCACCACUAAGACCAUCAUGGCUGAAGAGAAGCGCCACCACUACCACCACAAGGAAGAGAAGCACCACCACCACCUCGUCCACCACCACAAGGAAGAGAGAAGCACCACUAAGACCAUCAUGGUUGAAGAGAGAAGCACCACUAAGACCAUCAUGGUUGAAGAGAAGCACCACCACCACCUCGUCCACCACCACAAGGAAGAGAAGCACCACCACCACCUUGUCCACCACCACAAGGAAGAGAAGAAGCACCAGCACCACCUCGUCCAGCACCAGCACCAGCACCAGCACCACCUCGUCCAGCACCACCACCACCACCACCACCACCACCACAAGGAAGAGAAGCACCACCACCACAAGCCUGUCGAGAGAAGCACCACUAAGACCAUCAUGGCUGAAGAGAAGCACCGCCACCACCUCGUCCACCACCACAAGGAAGAGAAGCACCGCCACCACAAGCCAUAAUAAAAGGCAUAAUAGUCUCUUGUAUACUGUUUGUUCUGGCUUGAUGGUGCUGAUUUGAGUUAAAAAAGAUAAUGACUAUGUUGAUGAUGACACAUUUUCUGCCUUGGGAACCAAUUAUAAUAUAGGAUCCGAAUAGUUGCUUUUAUCUUUAUAAUUUAUGUUUCACAUGGAAAGAUAUUCAAUUCUCAUCUUUGAUACAUGUCACUACUUUGUUGCAAUUCAGUCAAGUUUAUUCAUACUUGAACAAGGCGGUGUCCUGAAAAUAUGACAUCUAUUAGUUAUACAAUGUUUAUUGUUGCUUGACUAACUUGCAGUCUUGGGUGGUUAACUUGUGCAUUGAUCCAGCUUGAGUUAAGUACUUGGUUACUCAGCGUUUGCUCUGACAUAUAUUCUUCAGUAAAUGCGGCAGGCUGAAUUGUUUACAAAUUACCGGUUCAAUUGUUGCUGUGUAAGCGAUGUACUGCAACUCCUGCAACUUAUAUUGAUCGUGCUUUGCUGGUAUCGUCCCCUGUACUUGCUUGUCCUUGGUUUUCUAUUCUGUUAAACCUACAACUCCAAUUUUAAGUUCCUUUAUCCUGUGUGUUUCUCUUCUUUGCUGCUCAGUACUCCAGAACUAUGACCGUAUCCAUUAACCGUCCCUCCUCAUAAAUUACUACUAGCAGUGAAAAUCACUGGAGUCAUUUCUUGCUGCACUCUUGAAAAGCACUGUCAUGUACAAUUCCAUUGUACUUUACCUGACUUGCUGCCUUAACCAUCUGACAUUAGCAUGUUUCCGCUCAAAGUAUAGACCAAAAGAAAGGAAUUCUGAAAUCUUCUAUGGUUCAAUUGUCAUGAAUGUGAGUUUUCAUGAACAGACAACGUGGCUUUAACUGCUUAUUUGCUUUUGCCUUUUUGUGUAGGAAACUUUUGUUUCUGGUGUUGAUGGUCUCAACUUAACUUCCAAUGAAGACUCGUACAAAUCCAAGGCAACUACGAAAUUCAUGGAUUCAAUUGAUGGUGCUAUUGAUGAGUAUUUGACCUUUAACAAUCCCGAGUCAUGCUGUGAGAAGCUUGAGGAUUUGCUUACACAUGGGCACCUUCAGGGGCCACUGAGACCAAAGCCAGAAAAGUCACCUCAAUGCAUAAGGUUACACUUGUUUCAUCAUCAAUCUCUACAUGCAUACACCACACUUGCUUCAGCAUACAGAGUCCGUGCUAGUGACCUCUUGGCUCUUAAUUCUGAAAAUCAUCAGCAUCAUAUGGAAGCUUUCACUCUGAGCAGAAUAAGUGCAGCCUACUCCUUGUUGUUGGCUAUAGUUACGCAUCAUCUUUUUCUUUCUGAAUCUUCAAUAAUUGUCUGUGUUGCGAAUUUCUGGAAAAAUGCCGGGGAGUCCCUAGUUUAUCUCUUUAGAAGCUCAGCCUGGGUUACAUUUUCCAGUUUGCACCAAUCUGUUUCUGAAAAUUCAUCCAUUCUAAGCCAUAAAUGCUGAAGAUCAAUUCUUUUAUUAAUACUGAAGAUCAAUAUGCAAUGUUUGGGGACAUAAGCAGGCAGCACAUAAAUUGUAUUGUCAACAUAACAGAAAAAGUAUGGAGCUUCCUUAGUCAUGAAAGUCGACAUCUGCAAGAAGUUAAAGAGCUCAUUGAUUUUUGAUGGCUUCUCACAGUGGAAACUCCCCUUGAUCUCGGAACUCGUAUUACUUGCCGGGAUAGCAGAACUGUUUCCAGACUUCAAAAAAAGGAGCAUGCCAACCUAGAGAGAGCAUAUCUCUUUCAGCUUGGUCUCCACUGCUUACACUAUGCAACAUACCUGUCAAGCAUCUGUUAUGGCCUAAAUUCCCUGUUGAUAGGUGAAGUUUGUCAAUCUUCUAUACUCUGAAGGUAUGUAUAGUGGCUGGUUAGUUCAACCAAUUUGGCUGAAAAUAUUAUCAAAAAAUAGCGAUGUGAAAAGGUCAUCAAAUAGAUGGUGAUCAAAAAGCUCAGUUCAUCACUCGUAUAUACCGUAUAGUUGAGUGUAUCUUUCCAGGAUUGAAUUCUCAUAGAUGGUGAUCAAAAAGCUCAAUUCAUCACUCGUAAUGCAUGCAAGCAGGAGCCCAAUAUUUCGUCCUCUUUCCAUUUGUUUUUUUUGGGCCACAGUCCUAGAAAUAAGCAUUUCAUGAGUUAAUUUUGGUCUACUGAAUUGAAUAAGAGUGAACUUUUGGGCCAAAUCAGGCUCCAAUUUCAAAUGUGGGUGCUGUUAUUGGGCCUCAAGAGAUUGGAUAAAGCCUGCCCACCUGACACCUAAGUAUCAAGGUCAAAUGACCUCAAACAAUCUAAUAUCCGUUCGCCAGUACUUUUAUUUGUUUAUUUUUUCUUGCCUUCAUAUUACACCCUUCUCGCCUUUAUAUUGUCUGAUUCAGAAUUCAAAAUCUGAAUCUCAUAAUUGAAAGGACGCUAAGAG
This 6073-nucleotide long non-coding RNA is filed under the name Coffea arabica (coffee). RNAcentral describes it as "long non-coding RNA (CARA_LNC007275)". The record is from RNAcentral. Lineage: Eukaryota; Viridiplantae; Streptophyta; Magnoliopsida; Gentianales; Rubiaceae.